This 461-nucleotide ribosomal RNA is filed under the name Bacillus sp. (in: firmicutes). RNAcentral describes it as "bacterial SSU rRNA". It matches the Rfam family "Bacterial small subunit ribosomal RNA", at positions 162 to 608 of the family's 1533-position model. Lineage: Bacteria; Bacillati; Bacillota; Bacilli; Caryophanales; Bacillaceae. The record is from RNAcentral.
GCUAAUACCGGAUGCUUGUUUGAACCGCAUGGUUCAAACAUAAAAGGUGGCUUCGGCUACCACUUACAGAUGGACCCGCGGCGCAUUAGCUAGUUGGUGAGGUAAUGGCUCACCAAGGCAACGAUGCGUAGCCGACCUGAGAGGGUGAUCGGCCACACUGGGACUGAGACACGGCCCAGACUCCUACGGGAGGCAGCAGUAGGGAAUCUUCCGCAAUGGACGAAAGUCUGACGGAGCAACGCCGCGUGAGUGAUGAAGGUUUUCGGAUCGUAAAGCUCUGUUGUUAGGGAAGAACAAGUGCCGUUCAAAUAGGGCGGCACCUUGACGGUACCUAACCAGAAAGCCACGGCUAACUACGUGCCAGCAGCCGCGGUAAUACGUAGGUGGCAAGCGUUGUCCGGAAUUAUUGGGCGUAAAGGGCUCGCAGGCGGUUUCUUAAGUCUGAUGUGAAAGCCCCCGGC